Molecule: ribosomal RNA, 660 nt
Filed under: Weissella confusa
Lineage: Bacteria; Bacillati; Bacillota; Bacilli; Lactobacillales; Lactobacillaceae
Description: bacterial SSU rRNA
Rfam family: Bacterial small subunit ribosomal RNA
Source: RNAcentral
ACGCUUUGUGGUUCAACUGAUUUGAAGAGCUUGCUCAGAUAUGACGAUGGACAUUGCAAAGAGUGGCGAACGGGUGAGUAACACGUGGGAAACCUACCUCUUAGCAGGGGAUAACAUUUGGAAACAGAUGCUAAUACCGUAUAACAAUGACAACCGCAUGGUUGUUAUUUAAAAGAUGGUUCUGCUAUCACUAAGAGAUGGUCCCGCGGUGCAUUAGCUAGUUGGUAAGGUAAUGGCUUACCAAGGCGAUGAUGCAUAGCCGAGUUGAGAGACUGAUCGGCCACAAUGGGACUGAGACACGGCCCAUACUCCUACGGGAGGCAGCAGUAGGGAAUCUUCCACAAUGGGCGAAAGCCUGAUGGAGCAACGCCGCGUGUGUGAUGAAGGGUUUCGGCUCGUAAAACACUGUUGUAAGAGAAGAAUGACAUUGAGAGUAACUGUUCAAUGUGUGACGGUAUCUUACCAGAAAGGAACGGCUAAAUACGUGCCAGCAGCCGCGGUAAUACGUAUGUUCCAAGCGUUAUCCGGAUUUAUUGGGCGUAAAGCGAGCGCAGACGGUUAUUUAAGUCUGAAGUGAAAGCCCUCAGCUCAACUGAGGAAUUGCUUUGGAAACUGGAUGACUUGAGUGCAGUAGAGGAAAGUGGAACUCCAUGUGUAGCG